This 270-nucleotide ribosomal RNA is filed under the name uncultured archaeon. RNAcentral describes it as "partial 16S ribosomal RNA". It matches the Rfam family "Archaeal small subunit ribosomal RNA", at positions 477 to 747 of the family's 1478-position model. The record is from RNAcentral.
CAGCACCUCAAGUGGUCAGGAUGAUUAUUGGGCCUAAAGCAUCCGUAGCCGGCGCUGUAAGUUUUCGGUUAAAUCUGUACGCUCAACGUACAGGCUGCCGGGAAUACUGCAGCGCUAGGGAGUGGGAGAGGUAGACGGUACACGGUAGGAAGGGGUAAAAUCCUUUGAUCUAUUGAUGACCACCUGUGGCGAAGGCGGUCUACCAGAACACGUCCGACGGUGAGGGAUGAAAGCUGGGGGAGCAAACCGGAUUAGAUACCCGAGUAGUCC